Molecule: ribosomal RNA, 253 nt
Filed under: uncultured bacterium
Lineage: Bacteria
Description: partial 16S ribosomal RNA
Rfam family: Bacterial small subunit ribosomal RNA
Source: RNAcentral
UACAGAGGUCUCGAGCGUUAGGCGGAAUCACUGGGCUUAAAGCGUGUGUAGGCGGAUUGUUAAGUGCCUUGUGAAAUCCCACGGCUCAACCGUGGAACUGCUUGGCAUACUGGCGGUCUUGAGCAACCUAGGGGCGAGCGGAACAAAUGGUGGAGCGGUGAAAUGCGUAGAUAUCAUUUGGAACGCCAAUGGUGAAAACAGCUCGCUGGGGGUUUGCUGACGCUGAGACACGAAAGCCAGGGGAGCAAACGGG